UUACCUGGCCUUGACAUGCACGUAGUAGGAGGGUGAAAGCCCGACGAGGUAGCAAUACCCGCGUGCACAGGUGCUGCAUGGCUGUCGUCAGCUCGUGUCGUGAGAUGUUGGGUUAAGUCCCGCAACGAGCGCAACCCUUGUGUCCUGUUGCGAUCCUAACGAGAGUUGGGAGCACUCUGGACAGACUGCCUCGCUUAAACGAGGAGGAAGGUGAGGAUGACGUCAAGUCAGUAUGGCCCUUACGGCCAGGGCUGCACACGUACUACAAUGCCCGGCACAAAGGGAAGCUAGACCGCAAGGUGGAGCAAAUCCCCGAAAACCGGGCCCAGUUCAGAUUGUCGUCUGCAACUCGACGGCAUGAAGUUGGAAUCGCUAGUAAUGGCGCAUCAGCUACGGCGCCGUGAAUACGUUCCCAGGCCUUGUACACACCGCCCGUCACAUCAUGAAUGCCGUUUGUACCCGAAGUCGCCCCUUAAAAGGUGCCGAAGGUAUGGAUGGUGAUUGGGAUGAAGUCGUAACAAGGUAGCC
RNAcentral lists this ribosomal RNA (528 nucleotides) under uncultured bacterium. RNAcentral describes it as "bacterial SSU rRNA". It matches the Rfam family "Bacterial small subunit ribosomal RNA", at positions 971 to 1501 of the family's 1533-position model. The record is from RNAcentral.